GUCAGUGGCUCCAGCCAUCGCCUCUCCUUCACCUCCAGCCAGCGCCUCUCCUUCCGCCGCAGACGAAAGUCCGAGCGCCGCCCUUGCCAAAAUCCAGCGCCUCUCCUCCUUCCUCCGCAGCCCUCCCCAUUCGAUUUGAACCCCUCCUCCUCCUUCCCCGUUUUCCAUUGAAGGCACCGGCGAGCGGCUGCAUGCAGUGAUUCCCCCUCCCCUUGUCCCGUUUUCCAUUGAAGGCAGCGCGAGCGGCAGCAGAUCCAUUGAUUUCCCGUGGUGGAGCUCAUCCUGGAGGCGGCCGUCGGCGUGCAGGACGCCUGCAACUUCUGCCGGCAAGCAUGUCGCAAGGGAGCUCAUCCUGGUGGGGUAGCAGCUCUGUUCCAGUUCGAUUGAUAGGCAAGUUUGGGAAGCGAACUGGCUACCCUCUGGUGAUUUGCCCCUUUUGUGGUGACGAGGUAAUCGAGCUGCUUUCUGGCCCUGGAGCAAAGAACCCGAACAAGGUGUAUUUGAAGUGCUGCCAGAACGAACAGAAUGUAACUGGGACUUGUGGCUUCUACUUGUUUGCUGACAAAUAUCGAAGGAUGCUGACAAAUAUCAACAUAGGAUAGUUUUUAGCUGGUAGCAUUGUAGCUCUUGUCGUCAUUGUUGUACUGGGUGUGUUGGUUAUGUUGAAGUGAACAUGCAUGUGAAAUUGUGACUUGUGCAAGGAAAUUUAGUUCACAAUUUCCAGCAAUAUGUCAUGUAAGGAACAUGGCGCCAUUAGGUCAUAGUUCGUGAUUUUGGUGAUUGAGCGACAAUAUGAUCAUGUGACUAA
This is a long non-coding RNA of Panicum virgatum (switchgrass), 808 nucleotides long. RefSeq lists it as uncharacterized. The transcript is spliced from 2 exons. The record is from RefSeq and is a predicted model, not a curated record. NCBI's taxonomy places the organism in Eukaryota, Viridiplantae, Streptophyta, Magnoliopsida, Poales, Poaceae.